GGCUUCAUACAUGCAAGUCGAGGGGCAGCAUAAAUUACUUGUAAUUUGAUGGCGACCGGCGAACGGGUGCGUAACGCGUAUGCAACUUACCUUUUACUAGAGAAUAGCCAAGAGAAAUUUUGAUUAAUGCUCUAUACACUUAUUAAUUCUCAUGAAUCUAUAAGAAAAGCUCCGGCGGUAAAAGAUGGGCAUGCGUCCUAUUAGCUUGUAGGUGAGGUAACGGCUCACCUAAGCUCCGAUAGGUAGGGGUCCUGAGAGGGAGAUCCCCCACACUGGUACUGAGACACGGACCAGACUUCUACGGAAGGCAGCAGUAAGGAAUAUUGGACAAUGGAGGCAACUCUGAUCCAGCCAUGCCGCGUGAAGGAAGACGGCCUUAUGGGUUGUAAACUUCUUUUAUACAGGAAGAAACCUUUCCACGUGUGGAAAGCUGACGGUACUGUAAGAAUAAGGAUCGGCUAACUCCGUGCCAGCAGCCGCGGUAAUACGGAGGAUCCAAGCGUUAUCCGGAAUUAUUGGGUUUAAAGGGUCCGCAGGCUGUUUGUUAAGUCAGAGGUGAAAUCCUACCGCUCAACGGUAGAACUGCCUUUGAUACUGGCAAACUUGAGUUAUUGUGAAGUAAUUAGAAUGUGUAGUGUAGCGGUGAAAUGCAUAGAUAUUACACAGAAUACCGAUUGCGAAAGCAGAUUACUAACAAUAUACUGACGCUGAGGGACGAAAGCGUGGGUAGCGAACAGGAUUAGAUACCCUGGUAGUCCACGCCGUAAACGAUGGUCACUAGCUGUUUGAUGUACAUUGGUACAUUGAGUGGCUAAGCGAAAGUGAUAAGUGACCCACCUGGGGAGUACGC
RNAcentral lists this ribosomal RNA (850 nucleotides) under uncultured Flavobacteriaceae bacterium. Its description in RNAcentral is "bacterial SSU rRNA". It matches the Rfam family "Bacterial small subunit ribosomal RNA", at positions 45 to 885 of the family's 1533-position model. The record is from RNAcentral. Lineage: Bacteria; Pseudomonadati; Bacteroidota; Flavobacteriia; Flavobacteriales; Flavobacteriaceae.